AUUCGGCUUUGCACGUCCGUCUUUCUCUUACUCUCACACCUGUGCACACAUUGUAGGUCCUCGAAAGAGGGGGUAUGUUUCAAUCAUCACACACAUCGUAUGUCUAGAAUGUAUCAUGAUCGUCGUCCGACCUCGCGGUUGGAGGGUGGUCCAAAACAAAUACAACUUUCAGCAACGGAUCUCUUGGCUCUCGCAUCGAUGAAGAACGCAGCGAAUUGCGAUAAGUAAUGUGAAUUGCAGAUUUUCAGUGAAUCAUCGAAUCUUUGAACGCACCUUGCGCUCCUUGGUAUUCCGAGGAGCAUGCCUGUUUGAGUGUCAUGGAAUUCUCAACCAUGUCUUGAUUGACUUCGAGGCAUGGCUUGGAUGUGGGGGUUGCUGGCGGUGAAAGCUGUCGGCUCUCCUGAAAUGCAUUAGCGAUGGACAGCAAGUCUGACGUGCACGGCCUCGACGUGAUAAUGAUCGUCGUAGCUGGAGCGUCGGACGAGCGCAAUAUGUCCCUUUGCUUC
This 506-nucleotide ribosomal RNA is filed under the name Xerocomus truncatus. Its description in RNAcentral is "eukaryotic LSU rRNA". The stretch from base 164 to 318 matches the Rfam family "5.8S ribosomal RNA". The record is from RNAcentral. Lineage: Eukaryota; Fungi; Basidiomycota; Agaricomycetes; Boletales; Boletaceae.